AAUCCAUAGGUUAAUGAGGCGAACCGGGGGAACUGAAACAUCUAAGUACCCCGAGGAAAAGAAAUCAACCGAGAUUCCCCCAGUAGCGGCGAGCGAACGGGGAGGAGCCCAGAGCCUGAAUCAGCAUGUGUGUUAGUGGAAGCGUCUGGAAAGGCGCGCGAUACAGGGUGACAGCCCCGUACACAAAAGCGCAUGUGCUGUGAGCUCGAUGAGUAGGGCGGGACACGUGGUAUCCUGUCUGAAUAUGGGGGGACCAUCCUCCAAGGCUAAAUACUCCUGACUGACCGAUAGUGAACCAGUACCGUGAGGGAAAGGCGAAAAGAACCCCGGCGAGGGGAGUGAAAAAGAACCUGAAACCGUGUACGUACAAGCAGUGGGAGCACCCUUCGGGGUGUGACUGCGUACCUUUUGUAUAAUGGGUCAGCGACUUAUAUUCUGUAGCAAGGUUAACCGUAUAGGGGAGCCGGAGGGAAACCGAGUCUUAACCGGGCGUUAAGUUGCAGGGUAUAGACCCGAAACCCGGUGAUCUAGCCAUGGGCAGGUUGAAGGUUGGGUAACACUAACUGGAGGACCGAACCGACUAAUGUUGAAAAAUUAGCGGAUGACCUGUGGCUGGGGGUGAAAGGCCAAUCAAACCGGGAGAUAGCUGGUUCUCCCCGAAAGCUAUUUAGGUAGCGCCUCGUGAAUUCAUCUCCGGGGGUAGAGCACUGUUUCGGCUAGGGGGCCAUCCCGGCUUACCAACCCGAUGCAAACUGCGAAUACCGGAGAAUGUUAUCACGGGAGACACACGGCGGGUGCUAACGUCCGUCGUGAAGAGGGAAACAACCCAGACCGCCAGCUAAGGUCCCAAAGUCAUGGUUAAGUGGGAAACGAUGUGGGAAGGCCCAGACAGCCAGGAUGUUGGCUUAGAAGCAGCCAUCAUUUAAAGAAAGCGUAAUAGCUCACUGGUCGAGUCGGCCUGCGCGGAAGAUGUAACGGGGCUAAACCAUGCACCGAAGCUGCGGCAGCGAACGUAUCACCCAAGACAACUUUACGGAGUUGACGAUUGACGGAGCGAAGCGACGUCAAAGCGUUCAUUAAAGUCGAGUUGGCUUAGGGAUACGUUCGUUGGGUAGGGGAGCGUUCUGUAAGCCUGUGAAGGUGUGUCGUGAGGCAUGCUGGAGGUAUCAGAAGUGCGAAUGCUGACAUAAGUAACGAUAAAGCGGGUGAAAAGCCCGCUCGCCGGAAGACCAAGGGUUCCUGUCCAACGUUAAUCGGGGCAGGGUGAGUCGACCCCUAAGGCGAGGCCGAAAGGCGUAGUCGAUGGGAAACGGGUUAAUAUUCCCGUACUUGGUGUUACUGCGAAGGGGGGACGGAGAAGGCUAUGUUGGCCGGGCGACGGUUGUCCCGGUUUAAGCGUGUAGGUGUGUGUUCCAGGUAAAUCCGGUUCACUUUAACACUGAGGCGUGACGACGAGGCACUACGGUGCUGAAGCAACAAAUGCCCUGCUUCCAGGAAAAGCCUCUAAGCAUCAGGUAACAUCAAAUCGUACCCCAAACCGACACAGGUGGUCAGGUAGAGAAUACCAAGGCGCUUGAGAGAACUCGGGUGAAGGAACUAGGCAAAAUGGUGCCGUAACUUCGGGAGAAGGCACGCUGACACGUAGGUGAAGUGAUUUACUCAUGGAGCUGAAGUCAGUCGAAGAUACCAGCUGGCUGCAACUGUUUAUUAAAAACACAGCACUGUGCAAACACGAAAGUGGACGUAUACGGUGUGACGCCUGCCCGGUGCCGGAAGGUUAAUUGAUGGGGUCAGCGCAAGCGAAGCUCCUGAUCGAAGCCCCGGUAAACGGCGGCCGUAACUAUAACGGUCCUAAGGUAGCGAAAUUCCUUGUCGGGUAAGUUCCGACCUGCACGAAUGGCGUAAUGAUGGCCAGGCUGUCUCCACCCGAGACUCAGUGAAAUUGAACUCGCUGUGAAGAUGCAGUGUACCCGCGGCAAGACGGAAAGACCCCGUGAACCUUUACUAUAGCUUGACACUGAACAUUGAGCCUUGAUGUGUAGGAUAGGUGGGAGGCUUUGAAGUGUGGACGCCAGUCUGCAUGGAGCCGACCUUGAAAUACCACCCUUUAAUGUUUGAUGUUCUAACGUGGACCCGUAAUCCGGGUUGCGGACAGUGUCUGGUGGGUAGUUUGACUGGGGCGGUCUCCUCCUAAAGAGUAACGGAGGAGCACGAAGGUUGGCUAAUCCUGGUCGGACAUCAGGAGGUUAGUGCAAUGGCAUAAGCCAGCUUGACUGCGAGCGUGACGGCGCGAGCAGGUGCGAAAGCAGGUCAUAGUGAUCCGGUGGUUCUGAAUGGAAGGGCCAUCGCUCAACGGAUAAAAGGUACUCCGGGGAUAACAGGCUGAUACCGCCCAAGAGUUCAUAUCGACGGCGGUGUUUGGCACCUCGAUGUCGGCUCAUCACAUCCUGGGGCUGAAGUAGGUCCCAAGGGUAUGGCUGUUCGCCAUUUAAAGUGGUACGCGAGCUGGGUUUAGAACGUCGUGAGACAGUUCGGUCCCUAUCUGCCGUGGGCGCUGGAGAACUGAGGGGGGCUGCUCCUAGUACGAGAGGACCGGAGUGGACGCAUCACUGGUGUUCGGGUUGUCAUGCCAAUGGCACUGCCCGGUAGCUAAAUGCGGAAGAGAUAAGUGCUGAAAGCAUCUAAGCACGAAACUUGCCCCGAGAUGAGUUCUCCCUGAGACUUAGAGUCUCCUGAAGGAACGUUGAAGACGACGACGUUGAUAGGCCGGGUGUGUAAGCGCAGCGAUGCGUUGAGCUAACCGGUACUAAUGAACCGUGAGGCUUAACCUUACAACGCCGAAG
This 2843-nucleotide ribosomal RNA is filed under the name Salmonella enterica subsp. enterica serovar Typhimurium. RNAcentral's name for it is "partial 23S ribosomal RNA". It matches the Rfam family "Bacterial large subunit ribosomal RNA". The record is from RNAcentral. Lineage: Bacteria; Pseudomonadati; Pseudomonadota; Gammaproteobacteria; Enterobacterales; Enterobacteriaceae.